GAUGAACGCUAGCGGGAGGCUUAACACAUGCAAGUCGAGGGGCAGCAUAGGGUAGCAAUACUCUGAUGGCGACCGGCAAACGGGUGAGUAACGCGUAUGCAACCUACCCUGUACAGGGGGAUAACCCGGAGAAAUUCGGACUAAUAUCCCGUAAUAAUAUCCGGAGGCAUCUUUGGAUAUUUAAAGUUCCGACGGUACGGGAUGGGCAUGCGUAACAUUAACUGGUUGGUAAGGUAACGGCUUACCAAGGCUAUGAUGUUUAGGGGUCCUGAGAGGGUGGUCCCCCACACUGGUACUGAGACACGGACCAGACUCCUACGGGAGGCAGCAGUGAGGAAUAUUGGUCAAUGGGCGCAAGCCUGAACCAGCCAUCCCGCGUGCAGGAAGACGGCCCUAUGGGUUGUAAACUGCUUUUCCAGGGAGAGAAACUUACGCACGUGUUGCGUGACUGACGGUACCCUGGGAAUAAGCAUCGGCUAACUCCGUGCCAGCAGCCGCGGUAAUCUAAGUCUACG
This 515-nucleotide ribosomal RNA is filed under the name uncultured bacterium. RNAcentral's name for it is "bacterial SSU rRNA". It matches the Rfam family "Bacterial small subunit ribosomal RNA", at positions 28 to 536 of the family's 1533-position model. The record is from RNAcentral.